GACGAACGCUGGCGGCGUGCUUAACACAUGCGAGUCGAACGGAAAGGCCCUGCUUUUGUGGGGUGCUCGAGUGGCGAACGGGUGAGUAACACGUGAGUAACCUGCCCUUGACUUUGGGAUAACUUCAGGAAACUGGGGCUAAUACCGGAUAGGAGCUCCUGCUGCAUGGUGGGGGUUGGAAAGUUUCGGCGGUUGGGGAUGGACUCGCGGCUUAUCAGCUUGUUGGUGGGGUAGUGGCUUACCAAGGCUUUGACGGGUAGCCGGCCUGAGAGGGUGACCGGCCACAUUGGGACUGGGAUACGGCCCAGACUCCUACGGGAGGCAGCAGUGGGGAAUAUUGCACAAUGGGCGGAAGCCUGAUGCAGCAACGCCGCGUGCGGGAUGACGGCCUUCGGGUUGUAAACCGCUUUCGCCUGUGACGAAGCGUGAGUGACGGUAAUGGGUAAAGAAGCACCGGCUAACUACGU
This 467-nucleotide ribosomal RNA is filed under the name uncultured bacterium. RNAcentral's name for it is "partial 16S ribosomal RNA". It matches the Rfam family "Bacterial small subunit ribosomal RNA", at positions 28 to 506 of the family's 1533-position model. The record is from RNAcentral.